Molecule: long non-coding RNA, 216 nt
Filed under: Setaria viridis
Lineage: Eukaryota; Viridiplantae; Streptophyta; Magnoliopsida; Poales; Poaceae
Description: long non-coding RNA (SVIR_LNC008892)
Source: RNAcentral
CUCACCCUUUUGUCCCGAUUGGAGUUACCAACCAGGACAAAAGGUUUACUCCCGGUAGGUAAUUCCAACCGGGACAAUUCAAACAAGGAGUAAACUGCCAACCAGGAUAAAAGGGGUUGUAUUUUGUCCCGGUUGGAAUUUCCAACCAGGACAAAAUUCCAACCGAGACAAAAUCUCCUUCCUUAUAAAAUCGCCCAGAUAGAGAGCUCUUCUUCC